UUGCCCUAGUAACGGCGAGUGAAGCGGCAACAGCUCAGAUUUGAAAUCUGGCGCCUUUGGCGUCCGAGUUGUAAUCUGUAGAGGAUGCUUUUGGGUAGCCACCGGUCUAAGUCCCCUGGAACGGGGCGUCACAGAGGGUGAGAAUCCCGUAUGUGACCGGAAGGGCGCCCUCCACAUAGCUCCUUCGACGAGUCGAGUUGUUUGGGAAUGCAGCUCUAAAUGGGAGGUAAAUUCCUUCUAAAGCUAAAUACCGGCCAGAGACCGAUAGCGCACAAGUAGAGUGAUCGAAAGAUGAAAAGCACUUUGGAAAGAGAGUUAAAAAGCACGUGAAAUUGUUGAAAGGGAAGCGCUUGCAACCAGACUUGUUGGCGGUGUUCCGCCGGUCUUCUGACCGGUCUACUCACCGUCUGCAGGCCAGCAUCAUCUGGGGCCGCUGGAUAAAAGCGAGGGGAAUGUGGCUCCCCCGGGAGUGUUAUAGCCCCUCGUGCAAUACAGCGAGCCUCGGGUGAGGUCCGCGCUUCGGCUAGGAUGCUGGCGUAAUGGUCGUAAGCGGCCCGUCUUGAAACACGGACCAAGGAGUCUAACAUCUAUGCGAGUGUUCGGGUGUCAAACCCCUACGCGUAAUGAAAGUGAACGGAGGUGGGAGCCUUAGGGUGCACCAUCGACCGAUCCUGAUGUCUUCGGAUGGAUUUGAGUAAGAGCAUAGCUGUUGGGACCCGAAAGAUGGUGAACUAUGCCUGGAUAGGGUGAAGCCAGAGGAAACUCUGGUGGAGGCUCGCAGCGGUUCUGACGUGCAAAUCGAUCGUCAAAUUUGGGUAUAGGGGCGAAAGACUAAU
This 836-nucleotide ribosomal RNA is filed under the name Phragmocapnias betle. RNAcentral describes it as "Conidiocarpus betle partial large subunit ribosomal RNA". It matches the Rfam family "Eukaryotic large subunit ribosomal RNA", at positions 75 to 935 of the family's 3401-position model. The record is from RNAcentral. Lineage: Eukaryota; Fungi; Ascomycota; Dothideomycetes; Capnodiales; Capnodiaceae.